This 333-nucleotide ribosomal RNA is filed under the name uncultured bacterium. RNAcentral's name for it is "bacterial SSU rRNA". It matches the Rfam family "Bacterial small subunit ribosomal RNA", at positions 568 to 898 of the family's 1533-position model. The record is from RNAcentral.
CGUGCAGGCGGUUUGGUAAGUUGGAUGUGAAAGCUCCCGGCUCAACUGGGAGAGGUCGUUCAAUACUACCAGACUUGAGAGUGGUAGAGGGAGGUGGAAUUCCCGGUGUAGUGGUGAAAUGCGUAGAUAUCGGGAGGAACACCAGUGGCGAAAGCGGCCUCCUGGACCAUUUCUGACGCUCAGACGCGAAAGCUAGGGGAGCAAACGGGAUUAGAGACCCCGGUAGUCCUAGCUGUAAACGAUGUGAACUUGGCGUCGGUGGUGUAAAAACCAUCGGUGCCGCAGCCAACGCGAUAAGUUCACCGCCUGGGGACUACGGCCGCAAAGGUUAAA